This 561-nucleotide ribosomal RNA is filed under the name Solariella sp. 3 LS-2013. Its description in RNAcentral is "partial 16S ribosomal RNA". It matches the Rfam family "Bacterial large subunit ribosomal RNA", at positions 1816 to 2597 of the family's 2925-position model. The record is from RNAcentral. Lineage: Eukaryota; Metazoa; Mollusca; Gastropoda; Trochida; Solariellidae.
CGCUCUUUGGGGGAUAUAUUAAUAUAAUGAUAUAAAGAGUCGGACCUGCCCGGUGACAUACUGUGUUAAACGGCCGCGGUACCCUGACCGUGCAAAGGUAGCAUAAUCAUUUGCCUUUUAAUUGGAGGCUAGUAUGAAUGGUUUGACGAGAGCUAAGCUGUCUCCUUUUAAAUAUUUAGAAAUUAAUUUGUAGGUGAAGAGGCCUACAUGGAUUUGAGGGACAAGAAGACCCUGUUGAGUUUGAAUGAAAGUAUAAACGAAUUAUUUUAUUAGGCCGUUAGGCAGAUAAAUGAAUUAUAUAGAUAUAAAUUGGGUUUUUAUUUAAUUUUUGGUUGGGGCGACUGAGGAGCAUAAGAAGCAUCCUUUAGAAUAAUAUUAUGGUUAGUAAGCCAGUUUGAUCCAAUUUUUAUUGAUUAGAGGAAAAAAUUACCACAGGGAUAACAGCGUAAUCUUCUUGGAGAGUUCUUAUUGAAAAGAGGGUUUGCGACCUCGAUGUUGGACUAAGGUAUCCUAGGGGCGUAGAAGCUUCUGAUGGUUGGUCUGUUCGACCAUUAAAACCUU